CUCCUAUAAGAGGGCUUUGGGGUUCACUAUUGAUUUAUGUCAGAGUUUUCACAACCUGUUCAUCAAACUGGUUCUUCUACAGUGCUCUCGACCGCCAAAGAAAUCUUCACUACACCCACUACUUCUCAACACUGUCAGAUCCCUGCGAAACCAUAAGAAGAAGAAACUCCUCUGCUAACGGAAGCGGUGUUGGAGGCGUGAUCUUUGGCACUCAGACGCUGAAUCUUCUCCAUCUCAUAUUAAUCGGCCCAGUGAUCGAAAACUCUAUCAAAACUUCAUAACUUCCCAUAGGGCAAACUCGCUCUUUCUCACUCGGCCAUGUGGAGAAAUUCGCUGAGUUUUUCAUCCAAACUCGCACGCUCCAAUUCGAAUUAUUAACUCCACUCUUGUUCCGCACUUCCUCAAAACCUUCUUAUCGUGGCCUUCCUAGCCGAUCUAAUUCCACAAGCCUACAGUCCACAUUGACAGCCGUUCCGGUAGGUGGUCCGAUUUCGGUGUGGAAGGCUAGGGAUGUGGCGUAAUUGGCCAAGCAUUGCGACUUCUGUUAUUGGGAGCUCUCAAAAGCUCAUCUGAGGUGUGUUUAAACUGGUUUACACCUUUAUUUUUUUUUUUCCAACAAAUUUCAAUUUUGAGAUGUUGGAAUUUCGUGACCUCAAGCAUAAUGCUUGAAACGUAGAUCCAUCUUAUUGGAGAAAUUGGUUGGUUUAGAACAUAUUUUAAGCGCAUUUUGCGGUCAAAUUGCUCAAUUUUCUGGUUGCUAAUGGAUUUCUAAUAUUUGUUUUUGCUAAUUGAAACGUGCUAUUAAUGUACUUUGUGAUGUGUAUUUGAGAGCUUCGGCAAUAUGUUCAGAUUUCAAAGAGCAAAUGUAAAAAUAAAAGAAGGCCUAUUGACUGUGAUUACCCUAUAUGUAUGUCUGUUUGCAAUAGUUUUUGUCACUUAAAAUAGAUCAAAGCUACUUUUAUUUGACAUAACUGGCUGAAGAAUUUACAACUUCUGCAUUUGGAGUAGAGGCCCUACAGGGUAAGGGAGAGAAAGGUAGUAGUUGAUAAUCUGCACAACAUGCUACCUACAAUGCAUAGUUUUGUCCAUUUUCCUCCACUCUACUAUAAUUAAUUAUGAACUUUUUGUGCUUCCAGUCCUCAACUCUACUGCUGCCGCCGGCGGGUCGCCUUGAACAGGCAAGC
Molecule: long non-coding RNA, 1184 nt
Filed under: Olea europaea subsp. europaea
Lineage: Eukaryota; Viridiplantae; Streptophyta; Magnoliopsida; Lamiales; Oleaceae
Source: RNAcentral